GAUGAACGCUGGCGGCGUGCCUAAUACAUGCAAGUCGAACGCGAGCACUUGUGCUCGAGUGGCGAACGGGUGAGUAAUACAUAAGUAACCUGCCCUAGACAGGGGGAUAACUAUUGGAAACGACAGCUAAGACCGCAUAAGCCCACAGCUCGGCAUCGAGCAGAGGGAAAAGGAGUGAUCCGCUUUGAGAUGGCCUCGCGUCCGAUUAGCUGGUUGGUGAGGUAACGGCUCACCAAGGCGACGAUCGGUAGCCGGACUGAGAGGUUGAACGGCCACAUUGGGACUGAGACACGGCCCAG
This 299-nucleotide ribosomal RNA is filed under the name uncultured bacterium. RNAcentral's name for it is "partial 16S ribosomal RNA". It matches the Rfam family "Bacterial small subunit ribosomal RNA", at positions 28 to 334 of the family's 1533-position model. The record is from RNAcentral.